UGUCGUAGCGGAAGGUCACGGUUCAAAUUUCACUGGUGGCAGAGUGGUUUUUUAUCGUGAUUGGAUGUCGGAUACCAGUCGGCUCAGCUGUGAGUACCUGAGUUAAAUCAGCGUAAUAAUAUCGGGCGAACGCAAUUCUGAACAAAUUGCCUCAUACAGUGUACUGUAGUGUACCGUUACCGUCUUGAAUAAAGUGCUCUAACAUACUUCAAAGCUCGAAUCCAAAAUGGAUUGUUGCGCCAAAGAUUAUUAUUAUUAUUACAGUGAAAACUCUCAUCGGCAGACACCGACCGUCGAGCAAUUUGUGUCCGCUCAAGAGGGGUGUCCGUCCAUAAGGAGGAAGAAUACAAUUUUUCGACACAAUUCUGUUGAGGGAGGAACACUUUUAUAACCAAAUGAAUACACUUUCUAAAGAUAUGACAAAAUUUUUAUUUCACUCUUUACCAGACAAAACUUAAACUCAAGAUUUAUUCAAUUUUUAUUUGCAUUACAUUUUUCAAAAAACUCGGAUAUUGUGGACUGACGUAACAUUUUAUGUUUUUCUCCUAAGAACAGUGUUUGAAUACGUCCCCUUAAAUUUUUUGAAUGCUCGAAAGCAAUAUAGUUGUUUUUACAAAAAAACCUUAAGGUUGAAAUUGUUUUCAAAGCAGCCUGACUUGACAGCACCUCUAAUGCUUCCUCAGACUGUUCAGUGUUGGAAUCCUCUUCAUCCAACAAGAUUUCGCUACUGGAACAGUUGAUCUCAAGCUCUGGAAGUAUUGAUCGGGACUCAGUGGCUAAUUCUUUAUCGAUAUCGAGGAAUUCUGUUGCGGCGGGAUAGCCCUGCCGGCUUUUUUAUUAAAAUGCCCAAUUAUGGGCAACCCCAAAUGCUCUGGAACGUGCAGCUUUCCCAAUCACGAGUGGUUUUUCUCUUUUUUCUGUUAAAUUAGCGCACAAUAAAAUUGUUAACCUUUCUUUCGACAAUUUUCCACCGUGACACUUAUCCGAUUUAAGAGCAAGUGUUAUAUUGGGUAAUGCUCUAAAGCAAGGAGAGGCAAAUUGUUCGGACAUAUACAAAAAAAAUCAUAAUCCGCCUAUUAGGAGUGUCCGCUAAGAGAGUUUUCAUUGUACUAUUGUCAUGUGGUUAUGAUGCAAGGUCUCGCUUAGUACUUCCCGGAUCUAAUAUUAUUUUUGACGUGAAUUGUAAAGAGCGCGAAAAAGGAGUCAAAAUGUACACACUUAAAGCGAGACAGGACUCAUUUUUGGAAACAAUCCAACACAAAAAUCCGAAGAAAUCAGGAAGGUGCGCUUAUAUGAAAUCUAGGCCUCAAAAUAUGUCCCAUUUCGAUAUCUGCUCAAAUAAACUUACUACCCCUCCAAUAAUCACACACUGAUCGUUAAAGGUAACAAAUUUUUGUAAAACUGUUAUAGCGUUAUGAACGUCGGAUAUUGUUCUUGGUUGACACUGCUCCUGAUGAUCUUGCUGGCCUUCGUUUUGUUCGUCACUGUUACGAUUGUUACUUUCAGCUUCUGCAAAAAUCUCUUCCUCAGUAGCUAAGGCGCACAAGGUAACAUUGGCAUCUAUCCCAAUAUAUUUUAUGAAUUACAUUCAAUCCUUGGUUCUGCAGCAGAAAAUCAGCACAACUAAGCAACCAAUUAAACUAGUGGUACGUUGUCAUCUUCAUCUGUAGGAGAUUGUAUACUCGUAAUUCUUGCUAGUGGAAUAUCAUCAUCGCCUCCGCUUGUGCUGGAGAGAGAUUUUUUAAAUCUGCGACACCAGUUGGGUAUAGUAGUCUGUUUGGCAUUGUCCCAAGCUUCCGAUAGCAUUAGAAUUGCAUGGUUUUCAAUAUUCUGAAGCCUUUGUAGUUUUGAAGUUUGCCUUUGAAGUUUUCUGUACUAUGUUUUUAAAGCUUUUAUCUCUUCUUGAUCUAUGGGCUGGAAAACAGUGGUGACAUUGGCCGGUAAAAACACCAGUUUUAUGCAUUUUAGAUUGGAGACUACAGGGUGAGCGGGACAGUUGUUUACUAGGAGAAGAAUUUUAUUUUCUCCAGAUUUCAAUUCUACAUCUCAGUUUCGCAGCCAUUUUUUGAAAAUAAAGCGAUGUCAUCCAGUGAAUGUUCUUAAAGCAACGUGGUUUCUUAGCUUUUCCUAUCACUAAAAGUUUUUUUUACACGAUCUAGUCUUGUUCGCAGCAACCAUACUGUAAUUCUUGUUUUAGACAACUUGCGAUCCUUGCAUUGCUCACCUUUGAAUUUAAGUGUCUUGUAAGGGAUUAAAUGAUAAAACAAUGCAGUUUCAUCUGCAUUAAAGAUUUCUUCUGGUUUGUAUCCUUUGCACAAAGCAGGCCACUUAUGAGAGAGCUACUCUUCAAUCACACCUUCAGGAACGCCAGCUGCUUCACCGCAAACUUUUCCUGCCACAAUAUUAUGACGAACAGGGAAACGUUAUACCCAAGACGACGAGCACUCGGAAUUUUCCUUCCCCAUAAGACGAGUGAAGUCGUUGGCUUUUUGUUGCAGGAUUGGACCACUUAUUGGGACGUUGUUUGUUCUCUGAUGUUUAAAUCAAUUUAAUGAAGCCUCCUCCAUAACUUUAUGUUCAGAUGUCCUCGAUCGUUUAAUUUUCAAAUAGUUGAUCUCGAAAAGAGCUUUUAUUUUAUCUCUAUUCUUCCAAAUCGUUAAUAUUGUAGAGUGUGAGACUCCACAUUCCUUUGCAAUUUCACUAUUUGACUCGCGACUCGUAAACUAUGCAAGGUCAAAUAAGGUAUACGAUUGAAAAUUGUUCGUAUUGUUUUAUUUUCCUGGAGCAAGUAAACGGUUGGGCUUUAUAGGUGAUGAAAAUCGGUAAAAUUUCGUCGUUUUAAGCGAUAUGUCACUGUAUCCGAUGUCAUUGUUGGCGGGAUGUUUACUUAUUAGUUUAUAUAGAAAUUUAGCCGGGAUCUUACCAUUCGGUUGUUAUAAUCGAUCUAUCAUUAUAUUCGGUUUCGACUGGGGAUGUUUCUGAUGCCUUCACUUAUUGACGCGCGAACGCUUCGUUGUUGUCGAAAUACUGAUCUCCAAGCGCUUCCUUGAGUGGUACAAAAAUAUAAAAAUCACAGGGUUUUAAGUCUAGACUAGGAUGGAUGUUCAAAUGCCUCCAAUCCAAAUAAUUUUUUUCCUCGAGAUGUAGCAAAAUGGCUCUUCUCAUCAUUCUUGUCUCUCUUUUAAGUUGAAAUGCCAAUUUUAUCGCACCCACAUAGCAUUUUGCAUUGAUUGUGGAUGGAUUGUGAAAGAAAUCAACGUGAAAACUACCUUGUCGUUAUUAACCUCUCAGCUAACAACCCCGUUUUAGCCUUCAUUGCUGUCUUCACUCCUUCGCUUGUUUGAUUCAUGGUUCGUCAUAUAUGACGAACAAAACAGGAAAUCGUCACUGUCUUGUUUGAAACUAUUUAGCAGUCAUUGUGAAACCUCUAAUCGAUAUUGCAUUUGUUUCUUCAAUAUCAGUCGUGGAAUCCAUCUGAUCGAUACUUUUCGAAUCCCUAAGCUAUUUAGGAUUGUACGUUGAACACUCCCGUAACUGAUGUUGAGUUUUUUUUGAGGAUUGAGUGUGUCUUAAGUCGGCAACCAGUUGAUGUGGGACCAGACCAAUUGGGAAGUAUUGGUCUGAACGAAUAUAAAAGGCGGAUUCCAUUUGGAUAUAAUUCGCGCUCAUGCCAUGUUUGUGAUUAUACAAAAAGGAGCGAUUAUCAUCUCUAGCCGCUUUUGGUCAGGCUGCUCCCAGGGGAGCGUCUGAUGACUUGCCUCUGCUCAGACGAAACUGUCAGUCACCUUUUUGAAUUUUUUAAUGUUGAGUUGCUUAACCAUUUUGGCAAUUUUUUUUUCAAACGAUUUCUGAGCAUUUUGACACUUUUGUCCUUGGGCAACAAUUGGGCUUUUGUUCUCUACUUUUCUUUUCCUCUAGAUAAUUCCUUUAUUCAAACACUUUAGUUCUACAGUUUUUCUUCUUUCUUCUGUUCUCGCAAGGACCGUGAAAUUUCGAUCGGAUUUAUUAAAGAUUUACUCCUGCCCUUGCUUGUUCGCUGUUUAUCGGGACAGACGAGAGAUGUUCAGAGAUUUAUUGAAUACUUUCUUGAACACUUUUGAAUAAUGGUGCAAAAUGUAUGUCCUUCUGGAACUUGAAAACAAAACCUGCUGAACAAUGAGAAUCACUUUCCUUGAGAAACUCAACUAACUAUUAGACUAGCACCGUCUUUAUAACUUUAAAUGCAACAUUUCGAGUUUAUAUUUAUUUCAAUAGGAUUCACCCCUUCCUUGGUUAACAUUUUUAUAAAGAUACUUUGCUCUACAAAAACAUACACCUCUUGCUCGGUUAUGGUUACAAUUGAUACUAAACAGAUCUAAGGGGAUUGAAGACGAGUUUAUUCCUCUCCGCUCCUUCCAGGUAAAAGACUCUUUUUGUCAUUUUUCAGAAAAUGGGUUCCGUUUUUAUUUAAUACAUCCUUGUGUAAUCUACAACAAUAAAGUUAGCGAUUAACAGUAAUUACUUCUAAUAGCUUCUAUUUUAGGUUCAGUUUUUGAAACUACGUUUGUUUAUCUACUCCUGCACUGCAGAUCCUAUGUGGUCCGUGACUGGCAAGCCAGUUAUUAUCAAAGACUUAUUAUUUCGUUUUUAUUCUAUUGUUCAUUGGGGUAAUACUCAUCAUUGACAGAACUAAUAUAACAAACUAUUUAUUAUUUAUGAUCUCAGAAACGAAUAACUACGAAAUAAUAUUCACAAACUAGUCGUUCACGGGGUAGAUCCUAUUUAGAACUAACUGCAACAGGCAUUUUCCUACUGUUAGGCGAUCAUAAGUUCCUCUUACUUUUCACUCGAUGUAGCAGCGCGGAAUAAGGAUGAAUCGAUUCAUCUCUGAUACUUCAUUCUGUUUUCAUGAAGUUUACAUAUGUAUACCUAUCUUAGAUUAGAUUUAAGUAAGAAUUUUCUGUUAUAAAAUACAUUUCCAUAAAUUAUUUGUAAGAUUAUCAUUCAAUAUUCCUACUCCGUAAUUAGACAACAAGCGAAAAUCAAACGUCAUGCAAGUUCGUGGAAUACACUAAACAUCCAGCGAAUGUUUAAGACUUAAGCGUAGGCCAUAGGAGCCGUUUUUUAAGCUACCGCCCUAACAUAAUCAUUGCGAAGCCAAGUUAAUUUUCUCUACAACUCCAGUUUUUGUGUUUCCUACUCUGCUCCUAAGCAUAUUCGUUUAUUGAUUAUUUUGUAGAUAAAUGUGUUAACUAUUAUUAUGACUUAAUCAUACUUUUAUUUACAAACUACAGUUACAAGAAAAGUUUAAAAACCAAAGACUUGAAAAUUGUACAUAUAGAGACUAGCAACUUACUUCUCCUCGAAAAUGCAUCAGAGAAAAAUGGAAAACUGCUGACAUAACCAAACAAGUAGAUAGAGCGAGACCGAAAAAAAAGAACAAAAUAUAAAAAUAUAAAUCAAAAAUAGAACCAAAACUGAUUUGUCUAAAACACUAUUUACUAUUCAAUGUCGAAGCAACUGAUAAAGUAUACUCGUCGCGAUGAGUUUCCUCACGUUAGUCUAAAGCAACUAAGAAACAAAUCUUUCAGAACAUAUUCACGCAAUUCAUGUAUUUUUGUUGAAUAGAAAUCAAUUUAUACAAGAGAAAACCCUUUUUUAUAGCUACACUAGUGCGUAUAUGAGUAAAACGAGAAACACGAUUAAAAAUAACGAGACUAAUAAAAUGUAAUAAUAUUAUUUUGUGGUAACAUUGCGGAACCAGGAUUACGUGAAUCAAUAAAGAAAUGAAACAGUGAGAGAAGAAUAAACUGCCAAGUAACGAUGAAUUAUUUAUUGAAAAAUCGAAACGAUUGAUGAUAAUAAAUUUGAGCGAGCUGAGCAGAAACAGACAAUGCAUAGAACAAGUUUUCAAAUGUAUAGAAAUAAAUGAUAUACAAGGAAUGAGAAAAGAGAAAUGGACAAAAUUUAAAAAAAAAAUUGAAAAUGGAAGGAUCAAAUAAACGUUUGAUAGAAAAUAUAAUAAAUUGAAACAAUACAGCAUGAAUUUUGUUGUGAAAUUUUUAAUAUUUUUUAUUUGCAUUGACCCGAAAAAAAAAUAUGAAAAAAUAUGAAUAGUAUACCAGCGCUUUUUCUUAAAAUCGUCCUGAUGAUUCACACGAUUGCGGUGCAGAUGGGAAAAGCAAAGGAAAAAAAAAAAUAAAAUAAAUAAAAUAAAACAAAAAAGAGAGAAGGAAAGAAAAGGAUCAGAGUUUAUUAAAUCAAAUGAAUGGAUAAAAUAAAGUGAGAUAUUUGUUUAUAA
Long non-coding RNA from Hermetia illucens (black soldier fly), 6280 nucleotides. RefSeq lists it as uncharacterized. The record is from RefSeq and is a predicted model, not a curated record. Lineage: Eukaryota; Metazoa; Arthropoda; Insecta; Diptera; Stratiomyidae. The transcript has 2 exons.